Long non-coding RNA from Polypterus senegalus (gray bichir), 3201 nucleotides. RefSeq lists it as uncharacterized. The transcript is spliced from 3 exons. Lineage: Eukaryota; Metazoa; Chordata; Cladistia; Polypteriformes; Polypteridae. The record is from RefSeq and is a predicted model, not a curated record.
AGGAAGUCAGCUAGUAUUUCCCAUGUCUGUGGAAUACCUUUGCAAAAGUCAUCAUUCAGCUCUUGAUGAGUGAAAGUAGCUCAGAAUCUUCAUCCAAGAAAAAAAAGUGCUGCUGUUGCUUAGUUUAAUCUUAUCUCUUGAAUGAAUUUUCAAAUGCCUGCGGCGCAUCAGUUGCAGCAGGCAUUUGAAAGUCCAUUCAAGAGAUUCAUGGUGACACUGGCUGGGGAUGCUCACUGGGAUACAAGACAGGACAUGCUACGACUGAUGGAGGGCUGAGCAAGAAGGUCUUCACUGCCAACACUUCCUGUGUUCUACUGUUCCUGUCCUUAACAAAUUGGAUCAUUGGUGAUGGCCUCUAUCUUAUGAAUUGUGAUUGUUGAGAAGUGGAAGCCAGAAGGAUUUACAGAUGACAUAGUGAAAAGUAAACAUAUUAGGCGCCAUGUUUCCAGCCAGGCGUGGAAGGGACUCGUAAUCUGCAAUAAUGUAGAAGGCAAAGGAAAUAAGUGUUUUCAUCAGACGAUGGUUCCAGAAAUGGGAAGUGGUCUGCGACUACCAUGGAAUGAACAUCAGCUACAGGGAAGGAGAGAAGGAAGCGGAGGCAGACUUCUUUUGUAAAAACACACGGCAAGGGGUCUUAAGUAUUUAUGCACAAACAUUUCCAUGCUCCUGUCAUUCAGAAAUGGAAGCCUUUGGAAGACCUCUCAACCAUUCAUCCAGCAGAGCAAACCUUCAGCCCCAGUGUUUUCUAAUGGACACUGGACAGCGGGCAAGGAAUAUUGUGCUAUUCAUAGCAAAAAAGGACAUCGAGGAAAAUGCAGAGUUACUCUUUGAUUACAUAGUCAGGAAGAAGUUGUUCCAAGGAGAAGGACUAGACCUGGGCUGACCAUUGAAAGAAAUCAUGUUUUUGCCUGUGAAAUGCUUAUAAAGGUUGAAGUUAACCUUUUUCAUUUUAAGAGUGUAUUUUUAUAAUUUACUACUGGAGAUCAACCAAGUAACCAUGCAGGGAGCAGCUGAAGUUUGUGCAAGCUGCUAUUCCCAACCAUUGUUCUGAACUCCUCUCCCCACAGCCUGACUGCAUUUUUGUUAGCACAAUCUGUGGCUAAAAAUAAAAUAAGAGCUCUCAUUUGAACUGUACGCUGUUUACAGAACUUGCCUAUACACUGCUGUUCAUUCCUGGGAACAUGACAGGAAUCUGACCGGGCUGGUGCACCUGUCACACCAUAACACAGAUGUCCUAAGAUGAAAUCAGGGCCUCAUGAUCCUUCUGGCUUUUUGGGUAUCAAGCAGGUGUUAGAAAGUUACCACAGCCCGUAGGAACAAAAACCAGGUUUAGAGAUCUCUCAUAUUUCUGUUCUACUUUACCUAGACAAAAAUAAGACAAUAUUGGCUCCUGUCUUUCAAUUUUUUCUCAUGAGCAACAGUCUUUUUUGUUCCCAGAUAAGACUCUGUGUGAUUUAUAAAAUAGAUCUUUUCACAAUCUAAAAAUAUGCUCAGUAUCAGCUUCAAGUGUACAUCUCAAUUGUGGCCAUGUCUGAGAUCUCCAUCGAAGCUCUAGUUUUUCUUAUAAUAUACUCAUAAACACUAGGGUUGAUUUUGACCUAUUUUGCACCUUAACAGUACAUGAUUAGAAUUUUUUAGCUGUUAAAGAUUAGUCACAAAAUUUCACCAAUGUAAUGCAUUAAGUGUAUCCUACUUUUUUUUCUGUACUUUGAUAUUUUGGCAAACAUGACUCCUUCUAUGCAAACAGCUGCACACAGUUUCUCCCUUUCUAACCCCACCAUAAAAUAUCACACUGAACAUUAUGAUUUGUUUUGAAUUAAGAUUGAUUAAAAGCAUUUCAUCAAUCUUUCUAGAAAUUUAUAGUUUAAAGAGAACAAUAAAGUAUGUACUCAAGUUUAAUUGCAGGUAUUUAUUCCUUUUUUGGAUACCAUUCUGUUAUAAGUUUGAUAUUCCUCGCUCUCUAUCAGGUACAGAUAAAUAAUGAUCAGAUAAAUCAUCACAUUCUUUCAGUCCAACUGUUUCUCCUAACCCUUCUUCCAACAUUCCAAAACUACACAAUAAGACACCUCAAAAAAAAAAAAAAAUCUUUUUAGACUAUGUAAAUAAACAUGCAUGCAUGUACACCCACAUACAAACAGCUUUCUUAGUAGCUUACAUUGUAAAGUUGUUCUUAUCUCUUUUAUUUACGUUUUAUGCUCUUCACCAUAGCAUCAGAUAUUGUGCACAAAACAAUGAGGAAAUUUUCCCCUCUCCCUUUUUCCCUUUCCAGUGUAACUCUUCUCCCUACCUUCCACUCAAUAACAUACAUCUUUGGACAUUUCUGUGCCUAGUUCAAUCUCUCUCCAGCAGGUUGGAGAAAUGAGCAACAAAUACAAUACCAGGCAUUCCAAGCAGCUCUAUAAAUCCUACCUUCCCCAAAAUGGUUUCAAGAGGGACACAUACAUUUCUUACAGGCAAUUUCAGUACCAUUGUAAUGUGAAAAGAUCCAUUAGCUGCUCCUGUGUUCGGCAAAAGAAGACAUCCCUGUAUCUAUGAAUUCAUUUCAGCUCAUUUUGAAACUCUGAGAGUUUGUAGCUACAGAAAAAGCCAAUUUGACCAUACUUUAUCUUGUUUUCUCUACUAUAGACAACAGUAAAAUCAUUCCUUUUUUGCUUUAAUAUACUGCUUUAAGGUAAAGAUAGUCUUGCAUGUGUAAAGUUGUGUUAUCACUUAAGCAUUAAAUUAAAGAAUUAAAUGUUCAUUAUAUUAGAAUAGGAUCAGGAAUAUACCUACAUUUUGAUUUCCAAUGUUGAUUUCCCUGUUUAGUUGUAAUGUGUUAGAAAGCAGUGCUUAUAAAAUUAAGCAUUCAAGAUCUGGGAGGAUAUGUAAUAGGAAGUAAGUCUGUUAUUGUUUUGUUAACCUUGUGUCAGCAGCUGCAGAGAAAUACAGCGUUUUUUUGUUUUUUUAACAGAAAUCUGCCUCCAUCUAUUUCUUUUUGUUCCCAAAAAGGAUUCCAUCCAUCUUAGAAGAGAAACCUUGUUACACGUUUGAUCUCUGAAGAAUACAUGCAUACUGCUUAGUUUAUGCCCAAUAAAUUCCUGUAAGACAGGUAGAUCAUUUGACUGUAAGUAAAGUUGUUUAGGAGGACCCAGAAACACAAAAUAUGAGGCAGUGCUACAUGUGUGACUAGUAUUACAUUCACUGAUCAAAUGUUCAUUUGCU